GAUGAACGCUGGCGGCGUGCCUAAUACAUGCAAGUCGAGCGAACGGACGAGAAGCUUGCUUCUCUGAUGUUAGCGGCGGACGGGUGAGUAACACGUGGAUAACCUACCUAUAAGACUGGGAUAACUUCGGGAAACCGGAGCUAAUACCGGAUAAUAUUUUGAACCGCAUGGUUCAAAAGUAAAAGACGGUCUUGCUGUCACUUAUAGAUGGAUCCGCGCUGCAUUAGCUAGUUGGUAAGGUAACGGCUUACCAAGGCAACGAUGCAUAGCCGACCUGAGAGGGUGAUCGGCCACACUGGAACUGAGACACGGUCCAGACUCCUACGGGAGGCAGCAGUAGGGAAUCUUCCGCAAUGGGCGAAAGCCUGACGGAGCAACGCCGCGUGAGUGAUGAAGGUCUUCGGAUCGUAAAACUCUGUUAUUAGGGAAGAACAUAUGUGUAAGUAACUGUGCACAUCUUGACGGUACCUAAUCAGAAAGCCACGGCUAACUACGUGCCAGCAGCCGCGGUAAUACGUAGGUGGCAAGCGUUAUCCGGAAUUAUUGGGCGUNAAGCGCGCGUAGGCGGUUUUUUAAGUCUGAUGUGAAAGCCCACGGCUCAACCGUGGAGGGUCAUUGGAAACUGGAAAACUUGAGUGCAGAAGAGGAAAGUGGAAUUCCAUGUGUAGCGGUGAAAUGCGCAGAGAUAUGGAGGAACACCAGUGGCGAAGGCGACUUUCUGGUCUGUAACUGACGCUGAUGUGCGAAAGCGUGGGGAUCAAACAGGAUUAGAUACCCUGGUAGUCCACGCCGUAAACGAUGAGUGCUAAGUGUUAGGGGGUUUCCGCCCCUUAGUGCUGCAGCUAACGCAUUAAGCACUCCGCCUGGGGAGUACGACCGCAAGGUUGAAACUCAAAGGAAUUGACGGGGACCCGCACAAGCGGUGGAGCAUGUGGUUUAAUUCGAAGCAACGCGAAGAACCUUACCAAAUCUUGACAUCCUUUGACAACUCUAGAGAUAGAGCCUUCCCCUUCGGGGGACAAAGUGACAGGUGGUGCAUGGUUGUCGUCAGCUCGUGUCGUGAGAUGUUGGGUUAAGUCCCGCAACGAGCGCAACCCUUAAGCUUAGUUGCCAUCAUUAAGUUGGGCACUCUAAGUUGACUGCCGGUGACAAACCGGAGGAAGGUGGGGAUGACGUCAAAUCAUCAUGCCCCUUAUGAUUUGGGCUACACACGUGCUACAAUGGACAAUACAAAGGGCAGCGAAACCGCGAGGUCAAGCAAAUCCCAUAAAGUUGUUCUCAGUUCGGAUUGUAGUCUGCAACUCGACUACAUGAAGCUGGAAUCGCUAGUAAUCGUAGAUCAGCAUGCUACGGUGAAUACGUUCCCGGGUCU
This 1372-nucleotide ribosomal RNA is filed under the name uncultured bacterium. RNAcentral describes it as "bacterial SSU rRNA". It matches the Rfam family "Bacterial small subunit ribosomal RNA", at positions 28 to 1381 of the family's 1533-position model. The record is from RNAcentral.